GACGGAGGGUGCUAGCGUUGUUCGGAAUGACUGGGCGUAAAGGGCGCGUAGGCGGCCGCCUAAGUCAGACGUGAAAUCCCUCGGCUCAACCGGGGAACUGCGUCUGAUACUGGGUGGCUUGAAUCCGGGAGAGGGAUGCGGAAUUCCAGGUGUAGCGGUGAAAUGCGUAGAUAUCUGGAGGAACACCGGUGGCGAAGGCGGCAUCCUGGACCGGCAUUGACGCUGAGGCGCGAAAGCCAGGGGAGCAAACGGG
This 253-nucleotide ribosomal RNA is filed under the name uncultured bacterium. RNAcentral's name for it is "partial 16S ribosomal RNA". It matches the Rfam family "Bacterial small subunit ribosomal RNA", at positions 524 to 776 of the family's 1533-position model. The record is from RNAcentral.